ACAGAGAUAACUCAAAAAAUGAUGGUGAAGAGUGUGUUAAAGGGGCUUAAAUUAACUAUUUGGGAUAAAUGCAGAUUACAUCAUUCUUUUCCAGACCUUAGCAUCUUGUAACCCAAUUCUCCCCAGCCGACAGCAAGACUGUUGGGAGAUUAAUAUGCUGCACUGCUGAGGAAAGAGAAAGCCUAUUACUAAGACAAGUCAACAAGACCAGGUGGUCAUGGGAGAAGCAUGAGAUGGAGCCUGUUAUUCUACCUUCCCUUUACCUGGACAAGUUUCAAUGCUGACCAUGUCACAUUCCCUCUCUUACUUCCUCCAAAGUAAAAGAGAGAAAUGACAACCUUUGACUUAAAGUUACCUAACUAAAGGGAAUUAUAGCUUCUAAAUGAAAGGAAGAUCUGCUCAUUAUCUCUGGGAUGGCAAAUACUGAUAUGAACUCCCAAGGGCCAUCCAGAAGUCAGACCCUGAAAGUCAUCAAGGAGAUAGUGGAAAUCUAUGCAAAAUAUGUGCCUUCCUGUCUCAGCUGGAGCAUCCAAGGACCUACAUUCUAAAUCAACAUUAUUGCUCCUACCUUCUACAUUGUAACAUCUCCUUCUUUCAGUCCACAGCCAUCUGGUUGCACACACUCCACCUUCAGAAUCAGAACCACAAAAUGUUUGCAGAACUUGUGGUUUUACAGAAAGUUGGCAGAGAGAUUGUUCUCCAUAGUGAUGGUAUCAAUUUCCCCACGUGGGAAAAAUGCCAGUUGCUAGUAACAAUAUCUGAUGCUAAGCAACCAGAGUGGUUCCAGGAGGCAGUUGGUGUCUGAAAAGAGCACCAAACAGGAAUCUGAAGAUACAGUUCUGGCCUUGAAUCUCCCCAACACUUCAGUGUGACCUCAGGAUUGACCACCAGGACAGGAAGGGAUUUAUCACAACCAGAUAAAACCAGGCAGCACAAUUCAAACACCUGGAAAAUUCUGCCUUAUCUUCCUAGCCCAUCCUUCAUUUAGACUUGUCCUGAGAACUAAACGUAAGUCAAUGCAAAUGUUAAAAGCAGAAAGGACGACACAGCUAAGAACCUGACCGAAAAUGUAAAAAGCUAAUCUUUCCAAAGACCGAAAUUCACCGUAUGUUUGGACUGUCUGGAUUAGAGUUUUCAAAGAGCUACGCUGAGCCCCAGAUUUCCUGAAAUCAUCCCAAGGGCCACCACAAAAAAAAAAAAAAAAAAAAAAAAAAAAAGGGAAGAAAGGGGACUUGGAAAGACCAUCUUAUACCCAAUUCCCACAUCACCCAAACACUGUCUCUUUAAAAGAUUCUGUGUGGGGGCUUCUACCAAGACCUGCACUUAAAGCCUGGAGGCUCAGAGAGGAAACCGAAUCCUCGAGAAAGCCUGAGAUGCCCCUACCUCCCAGGAUGCUCUGAUUUUAUAAAUCAGGCUGGUACUUUUCCUAGCGUAAAAGAUAAGCGUCAUGCUCCCAUCCAGCAUUGCAGUUUACGGGGCUUCAAUAAGGGAUUUGCUGUUAUCUAUCUAGCCGGUACCUUCACACCCUACGUGCAAGAUCACGACACCAGUAGAGGAGAUCAAAAGAGACCCGACAUAACUUUGAUUCUACGCUGCUCAGUCUGACAUAAUGAUACUGCUGGUGCUGCGGUCCCACUGAAGCCCAUCUUCUCUGGACCACCGGCACCCGACAUGCUCUGACAAUGUUCUAAAUGAGCGGAUUCAAGCUCUCUCUUCUCGGGUGCAGGUACCUCUCCUUAAGAUGUUCACUCAAGUGAAGAUAAAAUCCACCUGAAUAGCAGACAUGCAAUCAAGCAACACAGUCCCUCUACAGAUGCCAUACUGUUUGCUACUCAGUGUCCUAAAAGUUCCACGAGAUCUGUUAUACAACUGAGGCACCUAAGGGUGCGAGAGGGUGAGUGACGUAGCAGAACCAGUUUCCCCACUUCCGUCCACAUCUUUUACCCUCUCUUUCAGGGUUUUAUUUGCCCUUCUCUGUGUCUCCCAUUUGUUUCUAGUACUCUGGCCAGAGAGAAGAUAUAUAUUAUAGGAUAUAAUAUUUAUGUGUGUACCUAUACAUGUAUGCAUACACAUAUGUAGGUAUAUUUGUGUGUGUGUAUAUAAUAUAUAGA
Sus scrofa (pig) is the source of this 2111-nucleotide non-coding RNA. The record is from RefSeq and is a predicted model, not a curated record. Lineage: Eukaryota; Metazoa; Chordata; Mammalia; Artiodactyla; Suidae.